Molecule: ribosomal RNA, 140 nt
Filed under: uncultured fungus
Lineage: Eukaryota; Fungi
Description: partial 28S ribosomal RNA
Rfam family: Eukaryotic large subunit ribosomal RNA
Source: RNAcentral
ACCUCAAAUCAGGUAGGAACACCCGCUGAACUUAAGCAUAUCAAUAAGCGGAGGAAAAGAAAAUAACAAUGAUUCCCCUAGUAACUGCGAGUGAAGAGGGACAAGCUCAAAUUUUAAAUCUAUCGGGUUUUACCCGAUCG